CAUCUUGACACUGAAGUUUACCCGAGCAUGACAUCGGGUAUGAUUUGGAUGGAGGCAGAGGAAGGAAACAUCGGGAAGUUGUGAACCAUCUCCUAUUUAUGUACGACUUGAAGAUCUUUGCCGACUUGGAGCAGGGACUCAGUCAGCUCGUGGAGGCAGUCAUGACUUGUCCAAGGACAUUGGUAUGGAAUUUGGAUUGGAUAAAUGUUCUCAAUGUACAAUCAGAGGAGGUCAAAAGGAAACAACAGAAAACAUACAGAUGGAUGAAGGGAACUACAUUGAAGAUUUGGCUGUAGACUCCACAUACGAAUACUUGGAACUGAAGAAAAGACUACAAUUAAGCAUAAGAAAAUGAGACAAGAGAGUAACUGUUAUGGCAUAUACAGUAGUGUUCAGAAUAAUAGUAGUGCUAUGUGACUAAAAAGAUAAAUCCAG
This is a long non-coding RNA of Thalassophryne amazonica, 435 nucleotides long. RefSeq lists it as uncharacterized. The record is from RefSeq and is a predicted model, not a curated record. The transcript is spliced from 3 exons. Lineage: Eukaryota; Metazoa; Chordata; Actinopteri; Batrachoidiformes; Batrachoididae.